This 400-nucleotide ribosomal RNA is filed under the name phytoplankton environmental sample. RNAcentral describes it as "partial small subunit ribosomal RNA". It matches the Rfam family "Eukaryotic small subunit ribosomal RNA", at positions 587 to 983 of the family's 1831-position model. The record is from RNAcentral.
AGCUCCAAUAGCGUAUAUUAAUGUUGUUGCAGUUAAAAAGCUCGUAGUUGGAUAUCUGGCCUUUGCGUUGACGACCCGCCCUCUUUUGGGAUGAGCGUUGGAGACGUGGGUCUAUUUUCCGGUUGGUGUCCAUUCCACUUUAUUGGGGCGUGGUUCACGAUCCGGAUCGUUUACUUUGAAAAAAUUCGAGUGUUCAUAGCAGGCUUACGCCGUGAAGAUCGCAGCAUGGAAUAAUAACAUAGGACUUGGCGUUCUAUUUUGUUGGUUCUGGAACCUAAGUAAUGAUUGAUAGGGACAGUUGGGGGUGCUGCUAUAGACUGGCCAGAGGUGAAAUUCUAAGACUCAGUCUAGAGCAACUUAUGCGAAAGCAUUCACCAAGGAUGUCUUCUUUAAUCAAGAA